RNAcentral lists this ribosomal RNA (1361 nucleotides) under Lactiplantibacillus plantarum. RNAcentral describes it as "bacterial SSU rRNA". It matches the Rfam family "Bacterial small subunit ribosomal RNA", at positions 74 to 1424 of the family's 1533-position model. Lineage: Bacteria; Bacillati; Bacillota; Bacilli; Lactobacillales; Lactobacillaceae. The record is from RNAcentral.
CAUGAUUUACAUUUGAGUGAGUGGCGAACUGGUGAGUAACACGUGGGAAACCUGCCCAGAAGCGGGGGAUAACACCUGGAAACAGAUGCUAAUACCGCAUAACAACUUGGACCGCAUGGUCCGAGCUUGAAAGAUGGCUUCGGCUAUCACUUUUGGAUGGUCCCGCGGCGUAUUAGCUAGAUGGUGGGGUAACGGCUCACCAUGGCAAUGAUACGUAGCCGACCUGAGAGGGUAAUCGGCCACAUUGGGACUGAGACACGGCCCAAACUCCUACGGGAGGCAGCAGUAGGGAAUCUUCCACAAUGGACGAAAGUCUGAUGGAGCAACGCCGCGUGAGUGAAGAAGGGUUUCGGCUCGUAAAACUCUGUUGUUAAAGAAGAACAUAUCUGAGAGUAACUGUUCAGGUAUUGACGGUAUUUAACCAGAAAGCCACGGCUAACUACGUGCCAGCAGCCGCGGUAAUACGUAGGUGGCAAGCGUUGUCCGGAUUUAUUGGGCGUAAAGCGAGCGCAGGCGGUUUUUUAAGUCUGAUGUGAAAGCCUUCGGCUCAACCGAAGAAGUGCAUCGGAAACUGGGAAACUUGAGUGCAGAAGAGGACAGUGGAACUCCAUGUGUAGCGGUGAAAUGCGUAGAUAUAUGGAAGAACACCAGUGGCGAGGCGGCUGUCUGGUCUGUAACUGACGCUGAGGCUCGAAAGUAUGGGUAGCAAACAGGAUUAGAUACCCUGGUAGUCCAUACCGUAAACGAUGAAUGCUAAGUGUUGGAGGGUUUCCGCCCUUCAGUGCUGCAGCUAACGCAUUAAGCAUUCCGCCUGGGGAGUACGGCCGCAAGGCUGAAACUCAAAGGAAUUGACGGGGGCCCGCACAAGCGGUGGAGCAUGUGGUUUAAUUCGAAGCUACGCGAAGAACCUUACCAGGUCUUGACAUACUAUGCAAAUCUAAGAGAUUAGACGUUCCCUUCGGGGACAUGGAUACAGGUGGUGCAUGGUUGUCGUCAGCUCGUGUCGUGAGAUGUUGGGUUAAGUCCCGCAACGAGCGCAACCCUUAUUAUCAGUUGCCAGCAUUAAGUUGGGCACUCUGGUGAGACUGCCGGUGACAAACCGGAGGAAGGUGGGGAUGACGUCAAAUCAUCAUGCCCCUUAUGACCUGGGCUACACACGUGCUACAAUGGAUGGUACAACGAGUUGCGAACUCGCGAGAGUAAGCUAAUCUCUUAAAGCCAUUCUCAGUUCGGAUUGUAGGCUGCAACUCGCCUACAUGAAGUCGGAAUCGCUAGUAAUCGCGGAUCAGCAUGCCGCGGUGAAUACGUUCCCGGGCCUUGUACACACCGCCCGUCACACCAUGAGAGUUUGUAACACCCAA